GACGAACGCUGGCGGCGUGCCUAAUACAUGCAAGUAGAACGCUGAAGGAGGAGCUUGCUUCUCUGGAUGAGUUGCGAACGGGUGAGUAACGCGUAGGUAACCUGCCUGGUAGCGGGGAUAACUAUUGGAAACGAUAGCUAAUACCGCAUAAGAGUAGAUGUUGCAUGACAUUUGCUUAAAAGGUGCAAUUGCAUCACUACCAGAUGGACCUGCGUUGUAUUAGCUAGUUGGUGGGGUAACGGCUUACCAAGGCGACGAUACAUAGCCGACCUGAGAGGGUGAUAGGCCACACUGGGACUGAGACACGGCGCAGACGCCUACGGGAGGCAGCAGUAGGGAAUCUGAGGAAAUGGACGGAAGUCUGAACGAGAAACGCAGCGUGAGUGAAGAAGGUUGUCGGAUCGGAAAGCUCUGUUGUAAGAGAAGAACGAGUGUGAGAGUGGAAAGUUCACACUGUGACGGUAUCUGACCAGAAAGGGACGGCUAACUACGUG
Molecule: ribosomal RNA, 494 nt
Filed under: uncultured bacterium
Lineage: Bacteria
Description: partial 16S ribosomal RNA
Rfam family: Bacterial small subunit ribosomal RNA
Source: RNAcentral